GGAGGGAUGCCCGAGUGGUUAAAGGGGACGGACUGUAAAUCCGUUGGCUAUGCCUACGCUGGUUCAAAUCCAGCUCCCUCCA
RNAcentral lists this transfer RNA (82 nucleotides) under Mycoplana dimorpha. It matches the Rfam family "tRNA". Rfam says of the family: Transfer RNA (tRNA) molecules are approximately 80 nucleotides in length. Their secondary structure includes four short double-helical elements and three loops (D, anti-codon, and T loops). The record is from Rfam by way of RNAcentral. Lineage: Bacteria; Pseudomonadati; Pseudomonadota; Alphaproteobacteria; Hyphomicrobiales; Rhizobiaceae.